GUAAAAAGGACUUUGAUCUCUUGAUAUUCCCAAAUUUCUACGUAAUACAUAGAGCUAAGCAACUUUGCUCUGGCUUUCGUAGUAGCAUAAAAAGUUUUUGUGGGUUUUGCUCCUGAUAAUUCAAGAAAAAACAUUUCUUGCUAAACGUUUUAGGUUGAGGAAGGACACCGCCAGUGUUUGAGUUCUUGGAUCAGGCUCAGUCGCUUUGCAAUUGGGACCUUCGGCCUGUUACUGUAAUUAACACAUACACCCAUAAAACAUAUAAAUAGCUCAGGACAUUCAUUUACCCAAACUCAUUCCCAACCCUAGAAAACUAGGUUGAGAAUUGAGACUUGUGUUGGAAGAAAUAUUCGGCAAUCCAGGAACACACAAGGCCUCUUGUUCUACUGAGUACCGACUUAUUUACUCCUACAUUGCAUUCUGUAAUUUUUGAACUACCAGUACAACUGUCCAAAAUACCCACAAGUCUGAGAUGCUUUGUGCACUAAGUCACACCUCUUUGGUUAACAUCCACUGACAGCUGAUUGGCAAUUCAACCAGAGCUCAUCUAAGAUGUGCCAUUGAUCAAUGAAUGCACAAAUAUAUAACUAUAAUGAAACAAAAUCUAGGGCAUGCAAGUCGAGUGUAAAAAUCCGGAAGUUUAAAACACUAAAUAACAUCUUUGAUUAAAAACUAUGAUAGCAAGAUGAAAAGGAACAAGGAAAUCAAAAAGGAUUAACUAUCAGUGAUUUACGAUAACAUCAGUGAGCAAAACAGUGAGGUUAACCACCU
RNAcentral lists this unclassified non-coding RNA (771 nucleotides) under Hevea brasiliensis (rubber tree). The record is from RNAcentral. Lineage: Eukaryota; Viridiplantae; Streptophyta; Magnoliopsida; Malpighiales; Euphorbiaceae.